Molecule: ribosomal RNA, 253 nt
Filed under: uncultured bacterium
Lineage: Bacteria
Description: partial 16S ribosomal RNA
Rfam family: Bacterial small subunit ribosomal RNA
Source: RNAcentral
UACGUAGGGCGCAAGCGUUAUCCGGAAUUAUUGGGCGUAAAGAGCUCGUAGGCGGUUUGUCGCGUCUGCCGUGAAAGUCCGGGGCUCAACUCCGGAUCUGCGGUGGGUACGGGCAGACUAGAGUGAUGUAGGGGAGACUGGAAUUCCUGGUGUAGCGGUGAAAUGCGUAGAUAUCGGGAGGAACACCAGUGGCGAAGGCGGCAUCCUGGCCAUGUACUGACGCUCAGGGGCGAAAGCGUGGGGAGCAAACCGG